Molecule: ribosomal RNA, 496 nt
Filed under: uncultured bacterium
Lineage: Bacteria
Description: partial 16S ribosomal RNA
Rfam family: Bacterial small subunit ribosomal RNA
Source: RNAcentral
GACGAACGCUGGCGGCGUGCCUAAUACAUGCAAGUUGAGCGCUGAAGGUUGGUACUUGUACCAACUGGAUGAGCAGCGAACGGGUGAGUAACGCGUGGGGAAUCUGCCUUUGAGCGGGGGACAACAUUUGGAAACGAAUGCUAAUACCGCAUAAAAACUUUAAACACAAGUUUUAAGUUUGAAAGAUGCAAUUGCAUCACUCAAAGAUGAUCCCGCGUUGUAUUAGCUAGUUGGUGAGGUAAAGGCUCACCAAGGCGAUGAUACAUAGCCGACCUGAGAGGGUGAUCGGCCACAUUGGGACUGAGACACGGCCCAAACUCCUACGGGAGGCAGCAGUAGGGAAUCCUCGGCAAUGGACGAAAGUCUGACCGAGCAACGCCGCGUGAGUGAAGAAGGUUUUCGGAUCGUAAAACUCUGUUGGUAGAGAAGAACGUUGGUGAGAGUGGAAAGCUCAUCAAGUGACGGUAACUACCCAGAAAGGGACGGCUAACUACGU